This 895-nucleotide long non-coding RNA is filed under the name Homo sapiens (human). Its description in RNAcentral is "HSALNT0022693". Lineage: Eukaryota; Metazoa; Chordata; Mammalia; Primates; Hominidae. The record is from RNAcentral.
UUGCCUAUAGAUCUGAAUUUCACGUGAAUGAUACUAUAAAAAUGAUUCCCCCACAAGAGAAUUGGAUUGGCUCAACCUCACCUCUGGAAUGGUUUCUCCUGGGCCAGUGUCCACCCCAAGGCCAAUCUGCUGUGGCUGGCCUCCAGGUCUCUUCACUAGGCAGCCAGAGCCACGGCGUCCUGGGGAGAGCCAAGGCCCUGACUCUCUAAUAACACAAGUGGACUCCUGGGAGCCCUUGCUCCACCCCUGGACUCCAGAGAAUUGAGCUGUUUCUUCUCAUCCUCUCCUCCUCUCCUCCUGGCUGAGACUUGCAGAGAUGGAUAGCAGCACAGUGUCUGACCUAGAAGGGCCACUGCGAAGCACCUCUUCAUUUGAUUUUAUCUAUCUAUCCAUUGAUUGAUCCAUCUAUCCAUUAUCUAUUUUUCUUGUGGUACAACAUACAAUUUACCCUCUUUUUUGGAGACAGGGUCUCAUUCUGUCAUCCAGGCUGGAGUGCAGUGGUGUGAUCAUAGCUUGCUGAAGCCUGAACUUUCUGGGAUCAAGAGAUCCUCCCACCUCAGCCUCCCUAGUAGCUGGGGUUACAGAUGCCCACCACUAUGCCCAGCUAAUUUUUUAUUAUUAUUAUUUUUUGUAGAGACAAGGUCUCCUUAUGUUGCCCAGGCUGAUCUUGAACUCCUGGGCUCAAACUAUCUUCCUGCCUCCACCUGCCAAAGUGCUGGGAUUGCAGGCAUGAGCCACCACACCUGGCCAAAUUUACCCUUUUAACCAUUUGUAAGUAUACAAUUCAGUGGUAUUAAGUACAUUCACAUUAUUGACCAACCAUCACCACAAUCCCACCCAGAAAUUUUUUUUCAUCCCUAACAGAAACUCUGUAUCCAUUAAAUACUAACUGCUG